RNAcentral lists this long non-coding RNA (24055 nucleotides) under Durio zibethinus. RNAcentral's name for it is "long non-coding RNA (DZIB_LNC002406)". The record is from RNAcentral. Lineage: Eukaryota; Viridiplantae; Streptophyta; Magnoliopsida; Malvales; Malvaceae.
CCAAUCAAGGAUGGUUGGAAAAGCACUUCAGGGCAUCUGAAUCGCUCAGCACCAAUGGUAAUAACCUGACCAUCAGGUAACUCGUAGCUCUUCUCUACGGCUGAACUUGUUUUGGAGGUCUCUAGCUCCUGUUCGUAGUCAAGAGCAAUGUAUGCCAGCUUUUCCUUCAUGUCCCUCACAAUUUCCCGCUCGGCUGUGGUGGUGAAGGAAUACCACGCUCGGUCAGAAUUUUCAUCAAGUAAUCGGUGAGGUCACGGCCAGCCAAGUCAAGACGAAGAAUGGCAUGAGGGAGAGCAUAACCCUCGUAAAUGGGGACCGUGUGGCUUACACCAUCUCCAGAGUCCAACACAAUACCUACAUAGAAAAAGACACAACAUUGUUACAUCGCUUGUCUCUUGUAUAGCAAAAGCAUGUUCAACAUAUUAAAUUCAAUUCAACUAUAACCGAAACAAUUCAGAGAUUUCACCAGCCAUCCAAGCAGAAUCAAAUUGGCAAAGUUUUGACAAGUGCUCAUAACAUGUGAUAAUGAGAACCAAACUCAUGCCAUUUAUACCAAUGGUACUCAGCAGACACAGCUUAUGAUAUUUAGGAACUUAACAUAUCAGUUUCAGUUCGGUGCAGUUCCAACAAACUUAAAACUCAACAGGUCAAUCAUUUAUUUAUUAAAUGAUGCUUACCGGUUGUUCGACCACUGGCAUAAAGAGAAAGCACAGCCUGAAUGGCGACAUACAUAGCCGGAGCGUUGAAGGUCUCAAACAUAAUUUGGGUCAUCUUCUCACGAUUAGCUUUAGGAUUGAGAGGAGCCUCGGUAAGGAGAAUCGGGUGCUCUUCAGGGGCAACACGAAGCUCAUUGUAAAAGGUAUGAUGCCAGAUCUUUUCCAUAUCAUCCCAGUUGCUCACAAUACCAUGCUCAAUAGGGUAUUUCAAGGUCAAAAUACCUCUCUUAGAUUGAGCUUCAUCACCAACAUAUGCAUCUUUCUGGCCCAUGCCAACCAUCACACCAGUGUGACGUGGCCGACCAACAAUGCUAGGGAAGACAGCUCGGGGAGCGUCAUCUCCAGCAAAUCCAGCCUAAGACAAUACAUUUUACAUUGAACUUAUAUCAGAUAAAAAGGGCAGAAACAUUAACCUUAACAUUACAUAACAUCAAGUCAAAAAACACAAUGUUUCACUCAUAAGACAAAAGCUUUCAAUGAUUUACCUUCACCAUUCCUGUUCCAUUGUCACAAACAAGUGGCUGAACAUCCUCAGCUUCUGCCAUCUUCUACAACCUGCCAUAAUAACAAAACAAAAAUGUAAUAUUUUGGAACAAAUAUACCACUUAAAAGCAUAAUAAAUAAUUUUUUCAAAAAAAUUUUCACUUGAAUUCCACCAAUUUAAUUUCCCAUGAAUUCUAAAUAUCCAAUCUUGGGUUUACAAGAUCAAAAUUCAAGCAUCCUCAGAUCCCAUUAACAAUCUGAAAUCUAAAAGACCAUCAAAGCAAAUCAGCCAAAGAAACAAAUAAAUCAAAUAAGAAACAGCAGAAAAAAAAGGAAACAGAUCUAAGCAAACACAAAAAUAAAAUCAACCCAUUUCCAGAAAUGGGAUUCUUUUCCUGUCUUUUGGUUCAAAACAAAGAAAACCCAAUUCAUAAAACAAAUCAAAACAAACCCAAAAAACAAAAAAAAAAAGAAUAAAAGAACAAACCAGAAAAGAAAACAGCAAAAAGAGUUAAAAAGAAAAGAAAACAAAGACCAACAGAACAAAGACCAACAGAUCUAAUCUAAGGGGAAAUGAGGAGAACAUAACGACCUUGAGAAUACGAGGGUGUGUCUGAUGGGUGAGAAUGCGAGGAUCAAAUAGAGAAACGAGAGAGUGAGGAAAUGCUUUGAAGAAGAAAAUCAAAUGAAAGCGAAGUGUAAGAAGGGGAAGAGAGUGAAUAUGGGCCGUUGAAUUUAUGUGCUUGUUUAUUUGUAGAGAACGCGACAUUGGGCUCUCAUUCUCAACGCUUUUCCAUUCAUUGUUUUCACUGUCUUUUGCCAUUAGGCUUGGACUGGUUACCACUAAUUUCGCAACCUUUGAUUUUGCGCUUUUUUUUUUACUAAUAAAAAAAUUAGUUGGGUUACACAAAUAAUAAAUCAAAUUUAAGAGUUUAUAACAAUUAUAUUUUAAUUUUUUAAAAAUAAAAAUACAUUAUGUUGUUCAAAAUACAAAAAUUAUGGAGUUUACUAAUUUACGUAAUUAAUAGUGUAUUUAUUUUAAAUCCUAAUCUAGCUUGAAAUUGAAUUUUUUCAAAAAAUUUUAGAAUUUUAAAAUUUUUUUUAUUGUUUAUAUAAUUUUUAAUAAAAAAUAAAAUUCAUGCCAAGUAAAAUUCUUCAUUUAAGUAUUAGUUUUUUUUAUGCAUUUUUCUAUUUUUUUCUCUAAAAAAAUUGUCCUCCACUAUGUGAACACUGUUUUUUUCUUCUUCCUCUAAUCACCGAUAAGAAAAAAAGAUUUGAUUCAAACUUUAAUAAACUACCUCAAUUUUUUGCAUGUUGAUUUGGUAAGAAUUCACAAAAGUAAUGGAUUACCAUAAACCUCUUCUUGGCAUUAAGAAAAAGAAAAGAAAAAACUUAGGCUAUUUCCACUAAAUUUUCGAAGAAUAUAAUUAUUUUUUGCAUCAAUUUUGAUGGGAUUUUCAUCUUUCCUUCACGUCGGCUAUGAUCUCAUAUUUUUCAAUACCAAUUUGAAUGACUUAUAAAAAAAAAUUUGACAACUUUGAAUGAUUUAAAAAUUUGAUAAUCUAAAAUAUGGUAUGAAAAUUAUAUGAAAAAAAUAUAUGAAUGUUAAAUGACUUAAAAUUUUAGCAAAAAUUAUAUGUAGAUUUAAUAAAAUAAAAAAAUUAUAUUUUAUAUUUUUAUAUCAAUAUAAAUUAUAACAUAUAAUUUUUAUAUAAAAUAUAAAAUAAAUACAUAAAUUAUUAAUAUUUUACGUGAUAUAAAUAUAUAAAUGAUAAGAUCUACGGCAUUUAAUGGAGUUCUUUCUGUUAGGUUGCUUUCAAACAAAUAUGUAUGUACUUCAAAGCUUUGUGGGGGCAACUCUUCCAACCCAAAAGCCCAAUGGACCAUUUUUUCAAUUAAAAAAAUAUAUUAUAUGAUGUUGAAUUCAGCUCUAAAAAUCAUAUAUUUUGGGUCAAAAGUUGUUACCAAACUGAAUUAGUUCUAAAACAUUAUGAAUAUGAUAAGAUUCUUUGGUGUAUUUUUCCAUUUUCCAUUCCUUUUCAAAAGUAUAUUACGUUUUGCGGCCAUUGAAAAAUGAAAAGCAAAUACUUGGUCAGUUGGGAUAUUGUUGUGUUGUAAUGUGAUGAUUGGACAAGUUUCAUAAUCAUAAUUUCCGCAUUAAAUUUUGAAACUUGAAAUCAUACUUAAAGAACUCAAAUCAGAACACGUCUGUCAAGUAACUCCAAAGACUUACUUUUGGGGUUUGAUUUUGCCGUCACCAUUUAACUACCAUUACUUUAGCGACUAACAAACCUCCUACUGCCAUUGCCACCUUUCUCAUUUUAAAAAUAGGGACCGUUCAUGUAUCUGUGUCGCAUCUAUUUUAUGUCAAAACACGUGUAAAAACACGAAAAUGCAAAACCGAGGAAUUGUAGUUGUCAAAACCAUCAGCUCAGACACUAGCAUCUGUCUUGUGCAAUUGAAUAUUGAUAGAAUAGAGAUAAUCAAUUCAAACAACAACACUAAUGAUUCUAUAUAAAUAGAAAAAUUGUUUUUCUUUCACACAGAAAAGCAAGUUGAUCUGAUUUGAGGAAUAAAUAUGAGAGAUAAAAAAACCAUUCUAAUGCAUUCCAGAUACAUUACAUUGUCUAAACAGAAACCUAAAAUCAAUCCAAACAAUUUUUUGAGGAGUGAUCUUAAGUUCAUAUAUGGCAAGAAUUGAUCUUCCAUGAACUUGAAACCAUGCUUUUAGAACAGAAACUUAUAUCAAAAAGACCAAUGAAUAGGAGGCUCACCCAUCAAUUCUACAGGAAUGGAGGGAGAAUUACCCAUCUGCCCGGAUACUUCGGCCUUCCUUCCUUACCGUCAAAUAGCUGUGAGUAAUAAGAAGUCAAAGGUAAGGGGAAAGUUUAUUAAAAGUAAAACACAAUAAAAACUAAAGAUUUACAGAAUGGAGAUGUUUCUAUUAACAAAACAAAGACAAAGACAAAAUGAUAUAAAGCAAAACACGCAACCAUAAGGAGGCAGUCGUUCGAGCAAUUGUGGUGGCAAUUUUGGUUUUUAAAGGACUUGAUCCAAAAUGGUAAGCAGAGUGCUAAACAGUUUAUUUACUUGGAUAUGAAUUCCUUGUCUUAAAUUUGAUCCGAGUUCAAUAUAAGUGAUAUGAACAAGUGUGCUGACAUGCAUCAUACAUGAACUUCUAGAAUUCUACAUAGGCUUUUGCGAUACAUUUGACUAGCAUUUAGCAUAAUGAAGCAAAUCACUCAAUGUUACUCAAAGAAAUUCUAAUCCUGUAUGUACUUUGCAAAUUAAAUAAAAAACCAACAUAUCUUGAUCUAAUUUACUUUCAGUUUUAGGCAGAAAGGAAAGGCAGGGCGGCAGAAGUAAGAGAUUUCACUUGGUGUUGAAAAUGAAGGCAACUCUAAUGGCAUGCACAAAGGUUAUUUGGUUUAGUCGUUCAGCCACAAAAGCUAAGGUAAAUACCUUUUUCAAAUGGCGGUGCUUUGCAAGGGCCCAAUUUGUCAUAAUAGAAGUAGCAACCACAAGAAAUACAUAACCUGCAACACUCUGUGUAGCAAUAUUGAAACCCAGCCAUUGGUAAAUCUCUGUUGUGUAAUUUGCGCAUGUCACAAUGUUGAACAGAAACCCACGAGGAAUUUGAUACCCUCCACUACCAUCAGGGCUGCGUAGAUUCUUCAGAAUGAUAUGACAAUAGAAGUUUGCAAGUUGACAAACCAACCCAAACCCAAAACCAAUCUUCAUCUGAAGAUCACUAACAGGUGUGUAAAGUGGGUGAUUUACAUAGUAAGCAAUGUAAGAUCCAAAGGUCCAGUAAUAAGCACAGUUUCUGAAGACAUUUGAUAGUGGAGAUGUUGCAUGACUGAAGCGGUGGACGAAGAAUGUUUCCAUAAUACGUUUGAAGUAGUGGAAACACCAGUAAUAUAAAGCAUAUAUUUGAACAGGGUGGAUGACACGCUCCCCUUCAUAGCCAAAGAACUUGUACACAGGGAAGUAGUAGAAGAUGGGAUAGAGGUCAAAGGACCCAAGUAUUCAAAGAAGAAAAGUGUACGAUAAGAUACUUGUGGACCCAGGUCCUUGAACACUACAGUUAUGUUGUUUUGGUUUUCAUCACAGUAGUCUUUGAGACUCUUCUUGUAGCUAAGAACAACAGGCCGCACCUUUGAACCUGAUGGCACUGGAAGUGUGAGUCUUUGUCUUGAAGGAUAGAACUUUUUAGCUGCUAGUACCACACAUGAGAACUCAGUUAAUAAGAAUCCAAUGAUCAAUGAAGCUGCCCACACGCAUGCAAUCAGAGACACAUCCCUUGAGAAAUUGGGGGGAAAGACUCAAGAUGACAAUAAAAAGGCAUAAAAGUUUAUCAAAAUGUUGGAAUUCGUAAGUGCUCUGAUGCCAAAUUAAAAACAAACCCAUAAAACCCCUUUUGGCAUAAGAAAGCAGGCAGCACAGUAAUGCACACUGCAAUUGGCAAGAAUUUCUUUCCCAUCAAUAUGAAAUAAACAUAUCUAUUUUACCAAAGCAUCUGAAACUCAAAUAGGAGGAAGAAUUGAAACAUAAAAUCUACCAAAUAUUUGAGUGAAAAAUAAAAACGUUUCACUGACUGGAAAUGGAGUAACUAAUAACCCUAAGAUAAUACACAUAGCACAAAAAAGUGCCCUACUUGCAUGAGGAAUUUACUGCUGGUACAUGACAUCUGAAGAAUACAUUUCAAGGAACAAAAAAAAAUCAACCUUAGUGAUAUCUGUUAAGUAUCCAUAAGUAAAUAUAAUUUUAUCGAAUGUGUCUAGUUACUUCAUCACUCAAGAGUCAACUAGAUUAGAACAUCCAUGCAAUACAAUAUGCAAAUAAAAAGAAUUACAGGAAAUUCCCACAAACAUGCAAUUAUUUUGCCCAAUCUAGAGUUACAAGACUAUUAUUUCCUCCUUGUUUUGUUAAGUAACACUUAAUCAACAAACAAGAAAGCAAAUCACUUACUUCUCUUGUGAAUUGCCUCCUGCAAAUCAGCCACAGUAGCCUGCAAAAAAAAGAAAGAAGAAACAUAAUAAAUUGCCUUUCUUUCCCUUCAUUUUUCCAGACAAGCAAUCAGCCUAACACUAUAAAACACAAAAGGAAGUAAAACCCAAGAAAGAAAAAGAAAAGACUUACUAAGUCAUGAAGCUCAAGGCCUCCUUUGAUAAACUCUCUUCCACUGCGUGAAACUACAGUGACCUUCAUCCUUUCUGAAAACAAAAGAUACCCAAUUUUUGUUAUGGCUAAAGGAACAAACCCUUUGAAGCUUCAAGCUUGGAAAAGUUGGAUUUUUCGAGUUUGGAGAUCUCAAAAUUUAUAGCUUUUUGGUGAAAAAAAGUGAGAAGCUGUCUGUCAGGUUUAUAGUUUAGGAAAUGGGAGCGCUGGCAUUGAGAUUGUAUACAUUAAAGGCCUAUGGUUGGCGUGGGAGAGAAAACUACCUAGGCCGAUGACACCCCAUCUUUAAUUGCUCAACAUAUAUGACUUGAUUUGUGUGAUCCACUUAUGAGAUCUUGCUUUGAACGGUGAUGAUCUGAACACGUCAUCUAUCUUGCCAGAAAGAGAACAUAGUAUUUAUAAGGAUAGCAUUACAAUUAAUCUAUAAUAAUUACAAUAUCAUAGAUUAUUUUUCAUCACAUAACCUCAAUUUUUUUACCAAUAUGCAUUAUCCUAUUCUUUAUAUGUUUAUCACAUUCAUGUUAAACAAUAUUAAACAAAUUUAAAACAUGAAAGUUAUUGUAUCAAAUUUAUUAUUACAAAUUCCUGAUAUAUGUUAAAUUCAAAUACAGUUUUUUAUUUUUUUUAAAUUCAUAAAAUUUUUUUGUUAAAAUUUUUAUUAUAUUAUUUGUAUCAUAUUUAAAAUUACCAAUUUAAUAUUUAUUUAACUAAUUCUAACGGUUGAAUUUCAAGUAGGCACUUAAAAUUUUGCUUCAUCCCACCACUUGAGCAAAAUGAAGGGAUUGGCACACACACUCCUUUUGCUUUGGACAUACAUAAUUUAUUCAAUUUAUCACCAACUUAAUAUAUAUUCAUGUGAGUGGUUGAUCGUUGGUCCAUAACUAAAUAGAAGAGCCAAAAGCAGAUCACUACUUCCCCAACCAAGAAAUUUAUGUACCCAUCAAUUCAUUGUAGUAGAUUAGUACUCUCACUGGCCACCAUUCUCAUAUCAUUAUGAUUAUCUGAUAAUAUAAGUGUAGGCUCAACCCUUAGCCUUUUCUUAAGUAGAGGUGGCCGCCAGCCGCUGCCACCAUGGAGCCACCCCUCACCGCUGUCUCCGCCCCUGUUAAGCUGAUCAUUGUUGUUUUAGAUGAUAAACAGUUUAGAAUCAACAUAGUCGAUGAUGCUGUGGACAUGGCAUUCCAUAACAGGAGAAUAGACAAAGAAUACAUGUUAUAACAGAUUGCAUGAUUAAUGUCCAAAACAAUAGCAAUGGAAAUCCACCAUUGUCUUUUCCUUUGUUUUCUUCAACUAAUUUUCUGCCAAAACACUACAUCACACUCAAUAACAGCAUGACAAGUGAUAACAUUGGAAUCAAACAAGACUCUGCUAUCAUAAAGUUCAUAAGAGAUAUGCUCGUAUCAGUUUGAGUUAGAAAAUGAAAGAAUGCUGUGUGAUAUAUUCAUGUUCUAACAAGCUCUAUGACUCGAAAACACUGAAUAUAAACAUGGUGGAUAUUCAUAACAUUAUAGUGCAAAGCCAUCUUGUGUAUGUAAAUUAGUUCCCCUUGAACCAACUCCAGCGAAAACAUAUCAGUGCAUAAAGGCAUUCCAUAACAAUUUGAAUGAUCUUUAACAGCAGAAAUUUUCCAGCUUUUUACAUGAUAUAGGCAAUAUAUUUGCAUUUGAAUUUUGAAGUAAGAUGGCUCCCUUCACUUCUGAGUGCACACUUCAGCUACCUAAAUAAAAAAAAUAAGUAGAAAAUUUUAUAGACUUCGAAACACAUUUUUCUUUCAUCAUUAACAGAGGUUUUGAACAUAUCACAAAAAUAAUACAUGAAUAAACCGGAAGAACCAUGCAUUGCACAAGCUACUGAAUUCUAUGAGGAACCAUUGAUACAAAUAGAUAAAAUUCCAUAAAACUAAGCUGAUAUUCUACCUGGAUCUCACUGUGAAGCUAUCCAUAUAGCCUCAAACUCUAGCCUUCAGCACUCUUCAUCAUCCAUAUAUUUAAAGCCUAGCUCAUCAGUUGGCUUUGUAACCUAACUAAUAUCAACCUUGUGAUGAACCAAUGCAUUAAGGUUCGAUCUCUAACUAAAAUAAAAAGUAAGUUUUCCAGUAUUUCAGCGAUCUAAUAAUUCUCAAGCUACAAAGCCAUUCCACAAGCCACCACAAGUAACCAAAUGUAGAAGUAGAAAAUAAAGAAUCUUAAUUUUGUAGUAUUAGCUAUCCCGCCAAUGUAAGUUAGGGCCACAAGAACCCACUUUAGAAAAUAUUUGUCAGCACAUUAAGGCAUUCCAUGGAAGAUUUGAAUCAGAGGAGUACUUAGUUUCUUAUAUGGUCAAGUUUAAGGCAAUAUAUUUGCAAUUGAAUGUCUAGGUACAUAAGCUCCAUUCACUUAAGCUAACGAGAAAACAAAAGGACAAGAAACAAUAAAAUUUGCAUAGUAGCAUAAAAAUUGAUAAAUAAACUACUUUACUCACCAUUAGAUCCCUGAAAAUUUUACCAAUUCAGAAUGCUGAAAUGUUCCAGAAGACUUCAGGACAGUGAAAGUUUUAUACACAGUUUCUUAGCAUUUAUCAAGCAAAUGAUACAUUACCAAACAAGAACCAUGCAUUGCAAAGCUAUAGAUUGUUUUCGAGGAACAACUGAUAAAGAGCAAAAAUAUCAAAUUCAUCACUAUAAGCCAAAAUUCUAGGCAGAACUCACUGAGCAACUUUGCAUAUAUCCUCAUACUCGAUAGCCUUAAGCACUCUCCCAUCAUACACUCCCUUCUCUAUCUGCACCUUUGCACAAAACUUCUCUGUAUCCACACCCAACAACCUUGCAUUUGACCCACGAUAUGCCCCAUUUACUAUCCUUACCACUCCCCCAAUUUGCGGAAUCACAGUCUCAAGCUCUUCCUGAUCAACUCUCAACACAUGCUUACUGUCAAGCAUUUCAAUCUCCCCUACAUACCUAUCGAUCACUUUCCUCACAAUUCCUUUCUGCUUAUAGUACCCUCUUUGAGCCAAUGCUUUACUCAUCACCUUCACAAUGAUACCCUCACCAAGCCAAUAAUCUUUCCUAUUGCUUCUCUCCUUUAUCUUCUCCUCUUCCCUCAUCAACUCUUCCAACGCAUUUUUUCUACCACUGUUCUCUUUCUCCUCAUUCUUCUUCUUGUUUUCAUUCUCUUCCUCUUCAAAAACCAACCUCGCAUUAUUCGAACUCUCCCCUUUCGCGACAUUUCCCCCUCCUAAAGUAAACCCAAUUUUCACUCCACUCUCCAAAUUCAGCUCUUUGGUGACAGGCUGUUUUGAAUUCUCCUCAGAUUCCAAAGGCAUUUUCAGCUGCUCAGCUUUUUCAAUUUGCUUUUGAAUUUCCUUCUCUUGUUUCUCUUCCUCUACCAUAUCCAAUUUAAUCCUUUUAUUCUUCAUUUUUUCCUUAAAAAUAGUCUCUGAAUCUCUAUCAAUAUAAGUAAUAAACCAACCUUUGGGUGUUUCUUCGACCUUACACUUCCCAGUCCGUCCCAAAUACUUGACGAACUCCGUUAAAGUAGCCCACUGGGUCGAAUUCAUAUGAACGUGAUGUCGAUCAUGAAUGAACUCAUUGUAAACGACGGUGGCGGCGACGCGACUGAACCGGUGGCUGCGUUUCAUGAGGUCGAGGAAGUUUUGUUCGAACUCUUCGGAGUAUCCGGAUAAGAUCCGGUCCGGGUUUUGCCCGAAGAUUUGCAUUUGGCGCUGGUGAGAUUCGCUCAUGCAAUGGCAUUUGAAUCCGUUUUCGUCUCGGCAUUGCUUUUGGCACAUUUGACAGUACCAUCGAAGCUUCUGGAGACCUUUGGCUUUGAUUCGGUUCGCGAUUGCUUUGGGUGUUAGGAAAUCGUUUUUUCCCAUUGGGUGGCAAAUCGGAAACCCUAGAAAAAAGAAAUUAAGAUUAAAAAAAAAGAAACAGGGAAAAGAUUAUAUUUUUGUCUUUAAAGGAUGCAAACCUGAAAAUUAAGACUCAAUUAAACUUGAGAGAAUGAUCGGCGGCGGUGGCGCGUGAGUUGAACCGGCAGCUAAAGAGGGUUGUGAUGUAAAAAGGAAGAUAGAAGAAGGAGAGAGAAUGUAAUUUGCAAAUAAAUCGAGUUUUUUUUUUCCUUUUAUUAAUAGGCAUUAGGAUUUCUUUUCUCCUUAGAUAAAAGCCCAAUUCAAGGCCCACUUUUCAAUGUAAACAAAGUCCAAUACCGAAUAAAAUCCAACUUUUAAUAAGUUUUUCGUUCCAUAAGAUGGUAGAAAUUUUUUCGAAUUUAUUUGGAAGUAAUUAGAUUUUAUAAUUUUAAAUAUGAAACGAUAAUAAUAUAUAAAAAUAAUAUAAAAAAUCAAAACAAUUUAAAAUAAAAAGUUUAAAAUUUUAAUAAAAUUUAUAUAUAAAUUUGAUAAAAAUAAUUUUUUUUUUAUAUUUUAUACAUAUUUGACAUAAUACGAAUAUGAUUCGAACAUAUAUAUUAUCAUAUUUAGAUGUAAUCUUCUUUUCAAAUUAUUUUAAAAUUUGGUUUAGUUAUUUUUAACUUAAUUUUCAUUUUUUUUUGUCUUUUUUAAUGUUUCAAAUUGAUUUUUUUAAAGUACAAUUAUAAUAAAGUAUUAUAUGAUAAAUUGAAUAAUCGACGUACUAAUAAAUUAAAACAUAAUUAAACAUCCUAACGCACUUGAAUCUCAAAAUUCUAAGAUCUUUUGCUUGCAAUUUUUUUAAACACUUAAAACUUUUACAUUUUUUAUAUUUUCAAAUAUAUUUUUCAUAUAUUUUAUAUUUUUCAGCAUUAAAAAUCAAGGAACAUCAAUCUUAUAAAUAAAAUUUAAAAUUUUCACAUAAAUACACUAAAAUCAAAAUUUUCUCAAACUAGUUUAUUAAAAUCAAAAGGGACAUAUAUAUAUAUAUAUAUAUAUAUAUAUAUAUAUAUAUAUAUAACACGAUGGAACAGUAUAAAACAAAAUAUUUAGCUUCAGACAAAGAAUUCAUACAAUAAUACAAACCAAACAUUCUAGAAAAUUAGAAGCAGUUGCAAGCAUUUAGGGGAAAUUAAUGUCCUUUGAGACACUAACAAUAGCUAGAAAAGAAAUAUGCUCAUACUUUAUUGUCAGGUUGUUUCUUCUUAACCUCAUCCACAUUUUCAACCAUUGGUAGUGUCUGCAUAACCAAAGUCACAAAAGCCAUUAACAAAGAAUAGAAUGAAAAUUAUUUAUAAGAAAAAUAUACAAAAGACUACUGCAAUUUAGAUGAUACUGGGUUAUUAGCCAUUUCAAGUUUCAAGACUUCAGUAGCCAACACGGUGUUUGGGACAUUUCGUCGAACAUUUUAAGGGUGCUCAAUAUCAUCCAAGAAACAAAUACAUUAAAAAGAAACGAAGAAAAGUAAAUAGAGAAGUGAUUACGAGAUCAGGCUUGUAAAUGUUGUGGACGACGGAGGCGCCGGCAAGGAGUGAAGCAAUGACGACGACGCACGACCAGGCCAGAGAUGGAGUCCCGGUGGGCCGUUUUGCUGCCCCAAAUUUUUGGUUCAUGGCGCCUCUUUUUCUUGAAAACCUGAUGGCUUGCUCUAUUAACGUUCAAGUUUUUAAACUUUUUCUUUGAGGGCAAUUUAGUAAUUUUGAAUUUCCAAUACUUUAAUGGUCCUUGUAACUUAUAUAUCCAUACGGUGAUUAUUUUGUAUUAAAUAUAUGUAAAAUAUAAAAGUUAUUAUAUUAUAAUUUGUGCUGAUAAAAAAUAUAUAAAUUUUAUUUUUAUUAAAUUUAUAUAUAUUUUAUAAUAAUUUUGAAUUAUUUUAUUUUGAUAUUUUUUAUAAUAUUAUUUUUUUUGUUGUAUCUAAAAUUAUAAGCCUAUAUUUUAACUCUUGCCAAUGUUUUAUCAAGAUUUUUACAAAUUUUUGUCAUUGUCAAUAAUAUCAUUAACAAAAAUUUUCAUUGCAUCAAGGGAAUCUAUAAUUUUAUUUAUAACUUUUAUAAAAAAAAAGAGAAAAUAGAAAAAAGAAUUGGUUCAAUAUCUCUGAAUUUUAUUUUUAAAAAAGUAUAGUAAUUGAUAAAGAAAUUCAUAUGUUUGGGAUUUUUGUUAGUACUUGCUUCUUAUGCUUGUUGCUAACAUAAUAUAUAUGAAGGUGCUUAAUAGUUUUUUUAAGGGAUAAUACUCAAAUAAGUUCUUAAACUUUAUUAAAAAUUAGAAAUAAGUUCAUGACUUGUUAUUGCAUGAAAUUAAUGGUAUAAAUUUUUAUUUUAUUGUAGUUAGAUCCUUGACGGUAUAAAAUAUUCAGUUUUGUUUAAAUUUUUUUAGUUAGGUGAUUUAAUUUGUAAAAAAUGCAUAUUUAAAUUUAUUUAAAUGAGUUGAACAAUAAAUAUUUGAGGGAACAAAUGUUACUUUAAAACUUAUGUCAAUGGGAUAUUAUUAUCCAUUUAAAGAAUUAAUAUGUAUAAUUACAAUAAAAAUAAAAUUUUAUAUAUAGUCUUAGUUUAAUGCAAUAAAAGACUAAGGGCUUGUUUGCAUUUGGAGUAAAAUCUAAAGUUUAUUUGGGUAUUUAGCAUUUUUUUAAUUGGUAGCCAAUAUUGUGUUUAUAUAAUGUAAUCAAUAAAUUCAUAUUAUAAUAUCUGAUUUUGAUAGGUAUAGUUCAAAAUGAAACUUAUUAACAAUUUAAUUAACGUCACUAAUGAACCAGUAACUUAAUUCAGUUGACUCAUGUAUUUAGCUAUGCAAGAUAAUAUUCAACAGGUUUAUAAUUUGAAUUGUAAUACUUAUAAAUUUUUUUUAUCCUCAAAUUACGGAUUAAAUCAAACACAAUUGUUUUCUUUUGAUGCAGAAAACACCCAGAGCUUAAUCCUUGUAAAUUUCUGAGAAAUUGUGCUAGUAGACCUAAAUCCAUCCACACAUCUUUGUAAAUCAACAUCAUAGAAAGCUAUGCCAAUCCAAUCUAGAACAAGUUGAAAAAGGAAGCUCUCAAAAGACCAAAAAAAUCAAAGCAAAAUAGGAAAAGGGCAAGUAAUUGAGUGGCUAAUUGGUUACUCACUCCACAUGAAAGUUGGAAUCAAAUUGAUACACAUGUCUUGGUAAAAUGGUAAUAGAGAAAAUUCUCACAAAGAUCAUAAUAUGACAAACUUUUUUUGGCAAUAAAGGAAACCAAACUUCAGUUAAUUAACUAAGCUCAUGUUUCCUUUCUUCUGUUGCUUACUUAUAGAGCUGUAAAUCUGCCAUAAAACCAGGUGAAUUGCCAAGCUCAUGUCCAACUUUGUUGGUAUGCUCAUAGAAGGUUAAUUAUAUAUUGAUUUUAAUUGUUUCCAUUUUUAUAUAUAUAUAGUUCUUGUAACAACAGUUUUAAUUGUUGAUUAUAGCAAGUUUAUGCUAAAUCUAACAUAUAUGAAAGAUCCAGUAAAUUAUUGAAAUGAAAGCUUGUUUAUUUAUGCUAAAUCUAAUAUAUAUAUGAAAGGUCCCGUAAAUUAUUAAAAUGAAAGCUUGUUGUUCAUUUUUAAUUUGUUUUGGUCUGAAAUAGUUUAGGACGACCAAUAGUUAUGCGACCCAUUUGUAAAUGAUUGGACUGUAUCAUAACUUUGAUAAUUGAAAAUAAAAUUAAAAAAAAACACUAGAUUUAUGGAAAAGGCUAAAAUUCUAAAAAAUUCCUAAACUAUUUUACUUUUUCUAAAUAAGUUAUAUAUAUAUUUUUAUUGUAUCAAAAUAAUUUUUUAUUUUUUAUUUAUAUUCAAAUAAACUCUUAUUUCAAAUAAAAGAUUAAUUUUUAUUAAGGGCUUGUUUAGGUACAAAAUAAAGGUUUAGAGUUUAUUUGGAUACAAAUUAAAUAAAAUUUAAAAGUUUAUUUGGAUGUAAUAAAAAUAUAAAAACUUAUUUAAAUAAAAUAAUAAAAUUAAAGAACUUUUUGUUAUUUUAGUAAAAAAAACAUGAAUUGAUAUUAUAUAUUUUUUGUAUCAAGUUGAUCAAAUUAAAUAGAUUCAUAUAACAUACAUAUAAGAUAUCAUAUUCAAUUUAAUCAUUGUCUUUUGCUGAACCGCCAACAAGAAACAUACUAGAAAAGUCGCCCAUCACUGUUAACGCUAAACGAUGGAAAUGACCACUCAAGCCAGCUUGUGUUGGAAAAAUUGGCCAUGGAGAAAAUUCUCACAAUUCAACAAUCUUUAAUUGACAAUUUGAACUUUCCUGGCAAUGAAGGAAAUCAAACUUCAGUUAGUUAACUAAACUCAGGUUUCCUUUUUUGCCUGUUGGCUGCUUAUAGAGCUAUAAAUCUGCCAUGAAACCAGGUGAAUUGCCGAGCUCAAAAGCAUUUACUAUACUUUUUAAUUACUUAAAAUCUCAGCCGGAGGUUGCAGCCGGACGUCACUGGUGAUAUUGGUUGUAUUAACCAAUUGAGUUAGGUUUCGAGUUUUAAAAUGUAAGAUUUUACUUGUUAAUUGAUUUACAAUUUUUGUUUUGAUCAUUAAUGAGUUUUCUUCUUGUCUGCUUUAGUUAAAUCAUGUAACUCUGAUUGUAUCAUAUAGUGCUCUAAUUUUCCAAAACAAAAAUUGUUUCAUCUUUGAAACAGGUAUUGAAUUUGUGAAAAAAUAAUAAAAGAGAAGCCGUGAAAACAAGCUUGAGAUUUCGAAAAGAAAUUAAAAAAUUCCAUGUGCGAAGACAUGAAAGUUACCGAGAUAGAGCAUUUUAGUCAUCGCCACAAGCUAGAGCUGAGUUACAGCCAAAAGCCUUAUCGUUGUGAUGGAUGCAAACAAGAAGGAUUUGGUUCAUGCUAUCAGUGUAACAAGAAAACCAAGUGUGACUUUCAUCUUCAUGAGAAAUGUGCUAUGGCUGAUCCUUUGGCCACGCAUCCGUUCUUCAACAACUGCAUCUUCGAGUUUCGAAAGAAAAGAAAACAUGGUAAGCGUUGUAAAGCAUGUGGGAAAGAUAUUCGAGGUUUCAUGUACAAAUCAAAGAAAGCAUAUUUGCACCCUUGCUGUUUGAAGCUCCCAAACACAUUGAAUGGUGAAGGAGGGUUGAUUCUUAAUCUUAAAGACAAGGCCUCGUCCAAGUGUUUGAUAUGUCGACACAAAAAAAUCUCGGGUAAAGUAAAAGGUUGGGCUUAUGUUUCAACUUGUGGCAAACAUUGUUACCAUGUUGGUUGUGUAAAUCACAUGAAUUUUGAGAAUUGGGGUUGUUUCAAUAGUCAACAAAAUGGUGGGAAUAUUAGCUUAGUAUUCAUCAAACAAGAAAGUGGGAGAAAGAAGAAAAGAGGCUGUUGUGUGGGAUGUGCUCUAGACCUAAUAGUCAAUGCCAUUUUGGGGAGUGCUUUGCAGUUGGCUGCUGGUUGUGUGUUGGGUCUUUCCUAGCAAAGAUUUUUAUUGCUUGUAAAUCUGGACAGCCUUGUCAAUUACUUAAAUUGUAAGAUUUUAAUUGUUAUUAGAAGUGUUCAUGGCCGGGCCGGGAUGGGUUUAUGCUUGUUAUUAUAUAUUUGUUUAGAUCCGACCCAAUUUAAAAUUUUGGGUUUCAAAAUAUUCCCAAGUCCAACCCAACUAGAAAAAUAAAUCAACACCCACUCAUUAGAUUUAAUUUAUAUAACAAAAAUUUUUUAAAAAAUAUGAUUAAAUUAAGUUUAAUAGAAUUAUGUUCAAUUUUGCAUACAUAUAAAAUAAUAAAAAAUAAAAAAUAUAUAUAAAUAAAAAAAUAAAAAUUAUAUAAAAAUAAAAAUCAAGUUUAAUAAAAUGCAUAUUUUUAAUUUUAAUUUUUAUAUAUGCGAAUUAAUUUAUAUAUAAUUCAUAUUAUAUAUAAAUAAUAAUAUAUAUAUAUAUAUAUAUAUAUAUAUAUAUAUAUCCGAAUGAGAUUGGGCUAAGUUCAAACUUUAAAUUUUUUAUUCAAGAUUAGGCUCAAAAUUUAAACGAGCCUAAAGAUUGUGUUUAAGCUUGUUUAAAUGAUUUAAUUUUUUUAUCUAAAUUCUUUCAAAACUUGAACGAACUUUUAAGUUUAGAUAGAUAAUCAAUCAAAACUAUUAAACAAGUUUACUUGUUUUUAAUUACUUUUUUUUUAUCUUGAUCAUUAAAUGGGCAAAGCUUAAAAUUAACGAAGGGGGAUAAUUUUUUUUAUCGAUAAAAAAUUCUAAUCUGGGAUAUAAGAAUCUAUUAAAUAUUAUCUCUUAAUUGAUUAUCGGAUUCAAAUUCAAUGUUUACUUACGUGGAUGUUGAAGCGAACAAAUUUAACAGUUGAGCCAACAUUAUCGAUAAUACUCCAACCAACAUUUUGUUGACCCUUUAAAAAAAAAAUGCAUAUGACAAAUUCAAUAGCUUGAGCAUUUAUUUCAUUGGCCAUUGACUGAAGAAAAAUUGAGUGUAUUAGAGUCUCCCAAGUCAACAAAAAAUAUAAAUGUUCUUCAACUUUUGCUAGGACAAUUGGGUCCAAAAAAUUGACCUAGUCGUCUAAGGUUUGAAAUUAAAGCAAUUAAUUUAAUUACUUUUAUUUUUAAAUGUUUUCUUUUGCUGUAAUUUAGAAAAAAAAAAAAAACAGAGACACCAUACAUAUAUUCUUUACCAUGUAACUUCUCAAAUUGGAAAAUUUAAACAGAAAGUUUUAAAUAACAUUGUUGACUUAAAUUUUAAUAGUAAACUGAAUAUAAUUAUUUAAUUCCUUGUUUAUUAGAAAAAAAUAGAGCUAAGAAACCUCCGUAUAAUUAAAUGGAAUAAUUCUAGAAGAAUAAUUUAUCAUAUUCUAAUUAAAAACUUAAUUUAGUUGUUAGCUUAAUAUUAUCCCACGUCUAUUAGAUUUUCAAUUUUUUAUUUUUUUAUAUUUAAAUUAGGUUAUUUAUUUAUAAUCAAAUUGAAUGCUUUAAUAUGAUAUCAGAAUCGGGUUUUAUUUACUAAUUUGUACCUUGUACCAUUUCUGAGUUUGUCACCAUAAUAUUAUGUUUAUUUGUGAUAGAGUCUAUUAAGAUAUAUUAUUUCAGAUUUAUUAAUUCUAGAAGCGGAUUUACCUUUAGUAUGGACAAUCUAAAAAAUUGAAAAAUAAAAAUAAAUUUAAAAGAAAAAAUUUCCUUUAACACCUCAAAACUUUUUCAUGGAUACUCUUUUCGUUAACAAAUAGUAACUAAGUUGAUAAUUUUUAUAUAUAUUAUAUGUGGAAGACUUAAAAGAAAAAUUCUUGACCUGAUUAAAUCUUUGAUUUACUAUAAUGUUAUAUACCAAUCAAUUAAUUUUAAAUUGAAUAAUUUUAUUACGAUUUCACACAUACAACAAUAAUAAACCUUUAAUUGUGUUAGUUGAUUUAAUCUGUUUCUAGAAUAAUGAGAAAAAAAUGACACGGAAUGGUAGAAUUAGAAUAAACAAAUGGAAGAGAAUUGCAAGUUAUAUGGGUAGCAAUCACGCGGCUAUGCAAAGAAUUUUUGCUAUAAAUACUUAGGCCUCUUUUAUCUCCAUUCCUCAAAUAUUCCUUCCACUCUAGCUUUCAUUAUAUCUCUUGCAUCUUUGAGCCUUCACCGAUCAGAUAAACAUUUAUAUUUCUUUGUAUCUAAUUAAUCAAGGUAAUAUAUUUAUGAUUUUUGUGUAAUAUUUUAUUUUCAUUAUUGAUCUUUAAUUCAACUAAAUGAAAUCCACUUCAAUGUUAUGUGUGGCAAAAUAAGUGGAUUCGGAUACUUGAAUGUCCAUGUGGUCGAUAAUUUUUGAUUUUGAAUUUAUGUUGUGUGACAUUGAAUUUAUGUUGUUAGUGGGUUUCGAUCUGAUUCGACCCUAUAAAAUUAAUUUUUUUAAAAUUAAGUUUUGGUUUGGGUUUGAUUAAAAAAAAAAAAAGGAUUGGAUUAGGUUACAUUUUAGACAAAUCUACUUCAGUUCAACCUUGUACAUAUAAAAUAUUUUUAUUAUUUAUUUAAUUUAUAUUUAUAUAUAUUUAAUUUUUUAUAUUUAUUUAAAAUUAUAUUUAUAUUAAAAAAUAUUUUAUAUUAAAAUUUUUUAUUAAUUUCAGGUUGUUUGCUGUUUUAUAUAUAUGCGAAUUGGGUUAAAUCGGGUAUGAAAAACUAAUAUUUUAAUAUUGGAUUUGAGUAUAUAUUUUUUCAGGCGAACGAAAAUCUGUCAUGUUCCUGUUACAUCACUACCAAUUAUAGAAUGGAUGAAUUAGAAGUAUUUUUUAUUGAUUACAAAAUUCAAAAUUUGAAUUUUAUAUGCCAUGAAUGCAAAUGAUAUUUGCAUAUAUUUCUUCGCAUCUAGUUUAUCAAAUUAAUAUAUUCAUAGAGCAUAUAAGUACAAAUUAUAUUCAAUUCAAACUUAUUCUUUUUAAUAGAUUAUUCAAGUAAAUCUUGUCUUUGCAGAAAAUCCAACAAGAAGAUGCCAACGUUGCUAAAACUGAACGAUGAUGGUCAUCCGUAUCAGCUUGAGUGGAAAAAGAGCGAAGUUUCCUUUCUUUUGCGACGGUUGCAAAGAGCUAGGAUUUGGACUUUGCUACCAAUGUCCCAACAGCGAUUGCAAUUUCAUUCUCCUGAGGAAUGUGGGAUUCGUCGACCUCCGCCAUGCCAGAAAUUUUUCAAAGGAUGCGACUUCAAAUUUCACAGGGAAAAUCCACUAGAAGGAGACAGAUCCUGCGACGCCUGUGCCUUGAUAUACAAGGCUUCUUGUACCAAUGCUUCCGUGUUAAAAAUCCCCAUGAUUUACAUCCCUGUUGCGCAAACCUUCCACUGUUCUUCUCUCUUCCGGAUACCGACAUGGAAAUCUACCUAUGCGAAGAGAUUAAAUCGAAAUGCUUGAAAUGCCAAAGCAAGAAAAGGUCAUCAGGCAAAGCCCAGGGUUUGUCCUAUGUUUCUUCGGAUGGUAAAUUCUGUUACCAUGUGGCCUGUCUGAAAGAAGCCUGUCUGGAGAAUUGGAAAAAGGGUUAUUUUCAACCUGAUGUUAUUGCUGAUGAUAAGAACAAAAGCCUUGCAUUGCAAAAUCUUGCUCCAAAAGAAGUUGCGCUCGUCCGAGAUGGGGGCCAAAGCUCUAAUGCAAUGAACGGUAUCAAAUGGUUGAUCAUAUUUCUCAAGCUGGUCGUUUCAGCUAUAUUUGGAGAGCCAUUGACUUUAAUUUCUACUUUGUUUCAAAUUUAUGAUCAGAACUAGUAAUCAUAUAUUUGUUUGUUUGUAGGCUCUUCCCUGUUAUCUUUCCUAUUAAAUUGGGUACUUUUUUUUUUUUAAUUUAAGAACAAGGAUCGGCAAUAAAGCUUUACGCUUGAACUUUGUGCUUUAUUAAAUAGUUUUGUAAUUUGACUCAAGAAUUAAAAUGAAUAUGUUGCUUUUUUGGACGUUCCAAAAAAUUAAAUUUUUUCCAUGUAUUUGGGUAUUUCUAUUUCAUUUAUAUUAUAUAUGUUUGAUAGGAAGGAGGAAAAUUAAAAGAAAGAAAAAAAAUAUGAAAGAAAAGAGGAAGGAGAGGAAAGAAAAAUAUUUUUUUCUUUGUUGUUAAUUUAAAUUGAAUGAGUGUUUUACUCUUCCAUUUGAGAAAAAAAAAAAAAAAAGAAUUUUAAGAGAAGAGAAACACGAAAUUCACUCAUUUUACUUCUUCCUCCUUAUUUCUCUCUUAAGGAUGAAAAAAUAGUUAGAAAUGUCAAUAGGAAGAAUAUGGGGUGGGUAGAGCAUUCUUAAUCAUCCUUAAUUUUUUUUUUUUUAUUAUGUCUAUCAUUGUAUCUACACUCAAUGUGUAUUUUAAAUUCAUUCUCACUCUUAUUUCCAUGGUAUUUAAUGACUAUAAGUAAUAUCUGUAUAUAUAGCUUUUUAAAAAAAAAAAAAAAAAAAAUUUUAUUUUUGUCUUACACAUUAAAAUAAAAUUUUUUUAAUAUGUAUUUUUAAAUACAAAUAUAUUAGUCCUAAUAAAAAAUAAAAUUUAUUUUAUUAAAUAUAUAUGGUACAAGCAUGAGAUAAAUGCUAUAUUACUCAUCCCCAUACUUAUAUCUGAUAAAAUAGUUCAAACCAUACUUAUCUCCAACUUUAUCUCCAAAAUUUAAUAUUUAUAUCCAUUCCCAUUAAGAUAGAAAAUCGGAUUUCCAGUCGAAUUUAGAUAAAAUUGAUAUCCAAAAAAAUGGUAACUAUGUAUAUCAAUCUAAUUCCAUCAAAUAUGAUAUUGACAAAAAGAAUACUUUUAUUGUAAACAGGUCUCGCUAAAUAUAUGUUUUUUUUUGUGGGAGUGAGUCAACGAUGUGGUCUCACCUUUUGACAUAGUCUUCUUUUAAUUUUGAAAGCAUGUCAUUUACGGUUUUUUCUAAACUGUACAUAGAAAUAAGAAAGAACCCUACACAUUCCUUGAUGUAACGCAUGAACUUGAAAUUUUUAAAUUGAAAUUUAGUUUUAAAAUGAUUAAAUUGUUGACUUGAUCAAUUUUCAUACUACUAGCUUAUUAAUUUAAUGUCUUCUUCUUUGUUAAGCGACAAAGACUUGCUCAAUAUAUUCUCUACUCGGAUAGAUCUGUUAAUUCGUGUUACCAUUUCGUGUAAAAUACUAUAUUAUUAUUAUUAUGUUUUACAUGAAAAUCGCGUGUCACAAUUCAUGUCGAUAUGAAAAUAUAAAAUAUAAUUUUUUGAUUUUAUUAAACUUAUUUAUGAUUUUUUUAAAAUUUCAAGUUGUGUUAUCUCCUAUUUUUUAUUCAUAUCAUUUUUGUAUCGUAUAACUGUAUCAUAUUUCAUAUUGUUUGGUCUAUAUUUGGAUCAAUCAAAGUCUAAAUAGGUUUAAUGAAGUCAUAAAAAAUUAUUUUUCCAUAACUUAUUAAUUUAAUGUCUUUUUAGAUUAUAAAAGGCAAACCAAAGGAAACCGCGAUCCAAUUGAGCUGGAACAAACCUAGCGGACUAGUUUAUUAUAUUCUAAUCGAAAACUAAAUCAAGGCUUAACAGCAUUACUUAGAAAACUAUUCAACAGGGAAAUUUCUAGUUAUGUUUGUUAAUCUUUGUUACGUAGACUUAAUGAGAAAAAUUAACGCGGAAUUGGGGAAGAUCUAACAAAUGAAAGAGGCUAGGAUUGCUUGGGAAGUCAGGCAGUAACGCAGAGAUUUGUGUAUAAAUACUCUCAUUUAGGGUUCUUUCAUCACCAUUCCUACAUCAAGACUCCAACUUCCUUUUUAUUUGAAGCAUUCCAGAGUUCAACACUUUACCACACCAUUGGCAAGAUUCUAGCUUUAAUUCUAUCUCGUGUAUAAAUGAUUUUCCAUAUAUAUAUAUAUUUAUAUCUUGUGACAAUGGUUUUAGUUAUUGAUUAAAGCCAAGUUUAUGCUAAAUCUAACAUAUAUGAAAGGUGUAAGAAUGAUUAAAAUGACAGCUUGUUGUUUGUUUUCAAUUUGAGUUUUGCUUGAGUUUAAGAUUGCCACCAGUUACGUGAUCUGUUAGUAUUGAACUAGACUCUUCUUCGGGUGCCUCAAUUCACGACCGUUUUAAAUACCGAAAAAAAAUACUUUAGGACUGUAGAAAACAUAGCACUCUUUCAUAUAUUUCCUUGUGUAAAGUUAUUUCCUUGUAUCAAGUUGAUCAAAUAAAAAAUAUUCAUAUAACGUAUAAAAGUAUACAUGAUAUUAUAUCCAAUUCAAUCUUUGUCUUUGCAGAAACGCCAGCAAGAAUCAAUUGGAAAAAAGAUGCCAUCACUGCUAACACUAUACGAUGGAGAUGACCACCCACAUCAGCUUGUGUUGAAAAGGAGCCAAGUUCCUUUCUUUUGCGAUGGUUGCAAAGAGCUAGGGUUUGGAGUUUGCUACCAAUGUCCCAACAAGGAUUGUGAUUUCAUUUUUCGUGAGGUGGGAUUCGUCGGCCUCCAGCGUGCCAGAAAUUUUUCAAAGGAUGCGACUUCAAAUUUCACAAGGAAAAUCCACUAGGAGGAGACAGAUCCUACGACGCCUGUGCCUUGGAUAUACAAGGCUUCUUGUACCAAUUCUCCCGCGUUAAAAAUCCCCAUGAUUUACAUCCCUGUUGCGCAAACCUUCCACUGUUCUUCUCCCUCCCGGAUACCGACAUGGAAAUCUACCUAUGCAAACAGAUUAAAUCGAAAUGCUUAAAAUGCCAAAGCAAGAAAAGANNNNNNNNNNNNNNNNNNNNNNNNNNNNNNNNNNNNNNNNNNNNNNNNNNNNNNNNNNNNNNNNNNNNNNNNNNNNNNNNNNNNNNNNNNNNNNNNNNNNNNNNNNNNNNNNNNNNNNNNNNNNNNNNNNNNNNNNNNNNNNNNNNNNNNNNNNNNNNNNNNNNNNNNNNNNNNNNNNNNNNNNNNNNNNNNNNNNNNNNNNNNNNNNNNNNNNNNNNNNNNNNNNNNNNNNNNNNNNNNNNNNNNNNNNNNNNNNNNNNNNNNNNNNNNNNNNNNNNNNNNNNNNNNNNNNNNNNNNNNNNNNNNNNNNNNNNNNNNNNNNNNNNNNNNNNNNNNNNNNNNNNNNNNNNNNNNNNNNNNNNNNNNNNNNNNNNNNNNNNNNNNNNNNNNNNNNNNNNNNNNNNNNNNNNNNNNNNNNNNNNNNNNNNNNNNNNNNNNNNNNNNNNNNNNNNNNNNNNNNNNNNNNNNNNNNNNNNNNNNNNNNNNNNNNNNNNNNNNNNNNNNNNNNNNNNNNNNNNNNNNNNNNNNNNNNNNNNNNNNNNNNNNNNNNNNNNNNNNNNNNNNNNNNNNNNNNNNNNNNNNNNNNNNNNNNNNNNNNNNNNNNNNNNNNNNNNNNNNNNNNNNNNNNNNNNNNNNNNNNNNNNNNNNNNNNNNNNNNNNNNNNNNNNNNNNNNNNNNNNNNNNNNNNNNNNNNNNNNNNNNNNNNNNNNNNNNNNNNNNNNNNNNNNNNNNNNNNNNNNNNNNNNNNNNNNNNNNNNNNNNNNNNNNNNNNNNNNNNNNNNNNNNNNNNNNNNNNNNNNNNNNNNNNNNNNNNNNNNNNNNNNNNNNNNNNNNNNNNNNNNNNNNNNNNNNNNNNNNNNNNNNNNNNNNNNNNNNNNNNNNNNNNNNNNNNNNNNNNNNNNNNNNNNNNNNNNNNNNNNNNNNNNNNNNNNNNNNNNNNNNNNNNNNNNNNNNNNNNNNNNNNNNNNNNNNNNNNNNNNNNNNNNNNNNNNNNNNNNNNAGAACAAAGCAACGUUUCAAGCUGCACCAAGAAUUGUGUAGCAGUACCUUCUUUGACCUAUUCUCGUAUCAAAACAUUUAGAAGCAUUUCCUGUGGACGAUUGAUGGACCUGACUCAUCGUACUCUGCCUUUGCGAUCCACAUCUGCAACCAAAUAGCAUGCGAAUCGGCUAAUGUAAGACAUUGAACAAGCAACCAGACCACUGUAAAUGCAAAUCAAUGGUAAAUCAACUUACUUGUUGGAAGGUGCUGAGGGAAGCCAAGAUUGAGCCUCCAAUCCAGACACUGUACUUCCUCUCAGGUGGCGCAACAACCUUGAUCUUCAUGCUGCUAGGAGCUAGUGCAGAGAUCUCCUUGCUCAUUCUGUCAGCGAUACCAGAGAACAUCGUUGAACCACCGCUGAGGACAAUGUUACCGUACAAUCUUUCCUGAUAUCCACAUCGCACUUCAUUAUGGAGUUGUAUUGUUUCGUGGAUGCCUGCAGCUUCCAUACCAAUCAAGGAUGGUUGGAAAAGCACUUCAGGCAUCUGAAUCGCUCAGCACAAUGGUAAUAACCUGACCAUCAGUAACUCGUAGCUCUUCUCUACGCUGCUUGUUUUGGAGGUCUCUAGCUCCUGUUCGUAGUCAAGAGCAAUGUAUGCCAGCUUUUCCUUCAUGUCCCUCACAAUUUCCCGCUCGGCUGUGGUGGUGAAGGAAUAUCCACGCUCGGUCAGAAUUUUCAUCAAGU